Molecule: long non-coding RNA, 299 nt
Filed under: Mytilus galloprovincialis (Mediterranean mussel)
Lineage: Eukaryota; Metazoa; Mollusca; Bivalvia; Mytilida; Mytilidae
Source: RNAcentral
CCCGGCUAUGGUAGGAUAUAUGUUGCUCAUUGUUUAGUUCCCUUGUAGAAUUACAGACUCUUUUUCUUCUUUCUUUGUUAUAUUUUUUUUGGGGGGGGGGGGAUUUUCUCACUUCAGAUUUCAGUAUUUACUUUCUUUCUCAAAUCAAUAAUCUUACUUUUCGUUCUCUUAUAGAACUGUGUUUGUAUUCUACUAUAUAGAACAAUAUUUAAGUCAAAAUAUAUUAUUAACUAGUAACAUAAACGGUAUACUCACGUUUGUGAUGGAUUACAAUUGUAUCUAAUUUAUCGAUAUGGUUC